Non-coding RNA from Triticum aestivum (bread wheat), 85 nucleotides. The record is from Rfam. NCBI's taxonomy places the organism in Eukaryota, Viridiplantae, Streptophyta, Magnoliopsida, Poales, Poaceae.
UCGUCCGGUGAUGAUCAAACUAUAUACUUCUGUUCUAUCUCAUAGCACUGUGUGGAAGUGAUUUGGAGACCUGAACUGAGGAAGG